Astatotilapia calliptera (eastern happy) is the source of this 1145-nucleotide long non-coding RNA. The record is from Ensembl. Lineage: Eukaryota; Metazoa; Chordata; Actinopteri; Cichliformes; Cichlidae.
AGAGAAAACAGGAUGAAUGGAGGGAUUGAGGCAGAGGUGGACAAAGAAAGGAGAAAAAUAAGAAGGAUACCCGACGAGGAGGGGAAAAGGACAGAAGUUCAGCAUAGAAUCUUGAACAGGGACACCCCUAACAAGUUUGUUUUUCAAGAAAAUACAAAUUCAUCUUCUUAUCCACAGAGUGAAGCCUUUAAUCAGAGAGCAGAGAUCCUGCCAGCCCGGAAGAACGGCAGAAAUGUGAACAAUCACAGGACACACGCAGAAGUAAAGAUUAAAGGAUAUGAGAGUUUACGCUGUGAAAGUUGUCACAGGACAUACAGAGCAGAGCAGGACAUGAGACAACGGAAGAUUGGGACCAAUCCAGGAGACUUUGCUUUCCCUAAUGGCUUCUCUUCUCAGUACAGGCUGAAUGAAAGCGGAAGGAAUGCUCAUAACCACUCUGACAUGAUGAAGAACACAGAGUUGAGAAAAGUAAUCAGAAAUGUGUCGUUUGAUCUGCAGAGUUCAAGAACCCUGGAGGAAGGAAACAGUCAAAUUGAGGACAAGAGAGAGGAGGACGUAAUAAGAGACAAAAGAAAGAGAAGAGAAAAGAGGCAGAAAGUUCAGUCCAGCCGGUUGGUGAAGGUCAAACUAAACUUGAAUCCACUAAGAAAAAGCAAAGUCCAUCCAAGGAAGAAAAAUGAGCAGGGUCCUUUGGAGAAAAGCAGCUCCAAGAAAAGCAAAGAAAAAAGAAAGGAUGGAAAAGAACGUGAGGAGAAGGAAGAAAAAGGAAAGUCUAGCAAGAAAAAAAUUGGAAAAUCCUCCAAGAUUGAGACAUCGGCUGAGGUUGGAAUCAAGGAAGAAGAGGUCGGAGGAGAGGAAGGACAGAAAAGCCAAACACCCUCUGAAAAAACAAUUUCCAAAAGUGAUAACAAUGACCAGAAAAGUACAGAAGACAGUAGAUACCCAGAGAACAACCAGUCUGUGCAAAGCAGCAGUGCUGCUGACCAAUCAGGGUCCACUAUUGUUAGUGGACAUGGGCAAAGUCUGCUGGGUAAUAAGUAUCAAGGAACUGGCCUGACUCUGGGUAGUGCUCAGCAUUCGUCUACCAACCUCUCACUGCUUGGCUCAGCUGGCUCACAGCUAAGCGGCAGCAGCCUCUCUCUUCC